CACGCGGGCCGACGGUGGCGGAGAGCCGGAUCUGCGCGGCGGCGACGCUCCAAGCUCCGGCAUCAGCCCGAUACCCGCGCGCGUCGUGCCUCCUCCGCUCGUCCGGGCGCCCGGCGCUGCCCCCCUCCCCCCGCGGGCGGCUCGACCUCGACCCGCGAUGCUUCCGCUGCCAACUCGGGGUUGUCGUUGGCGGCCGCCGACAGGCUGGUGACGGCGAGCGCGGACGGGGUGGCGCGCUCUGAAUGCGAUCCGACCCCGCCUGGGCCACGCCAACCUACUGCGAGCCUACAGAGCGCCCGCGGGGUCCAGCGGCACUCCGACGUCCCGCCUGUGCACCCGACGCACCAAGGCGGACCCCUACGUUCGCGCGCGUCGUGCCUCCUCCGCUCGUCAUGCUAAAAACAUGAGUGAUUCAGGUCCAUCUCAAGGCCUAGUCGAGCAAACUCAUGAGCACAUGUCUUUUUGGGGGGGGGGCAGUAAUUUCCAUUAAGCCUCGUCGGUCGAUUUUUCUGUUCAAUUGAUGAUAGUGUUCAUGGGCUGCUUUGUCUUUGUUUUUGUCAAGUUAGCCCAUUAUAGCGCUAGGAAGCGCUCAAUCCACACGAGACGCACGACACCGUGGUUUGGAGUUUCCUGUUUGACUAGGUUCAUACCCGUACAUUGCUACGGGUGGCAAAAAAAUGCACAAUACACAAAAUUUGGGCAA
Molecule: long non-coding RNA, 703 nt
Organism: Panicum virgatum (switchgrass)
Lineage: Eukaryota; Viridiplantae; Streptophyta; Magnoliopsida; Poales; Poaceae
Exons: 2
Source: RefSeq, a predicted model, not a curated record